UUCUCAUCCAUGUUAUGAGGAGAAAAACAGAAAAUACUACACUUAUUAUCUGCAUCUAAACUCUCUCUCUCUCAAGUUCUUAGAAGCAAAGCUCUCUCCAUUUUCUGAAACACUUUCUAUGUUAGUUUUACAACACGUUAUCAGCACGAAUAGCUCUAGGAUUCGGAUUGCAGAUUGACAAGAGAAGAGGUGAAUAACUCUUGGGUUGCAGAGAAGAGGUAGUUCAUCAUUCAAUCAACAUCAGUCUACAAGCUCUACAACCAAGCAAGAUACAAUGAGGCUGUGUACUUAAGAGAGCCUCGCUCCACCCAAACCUCAUACUCUUACCUGGUCGUAUUUAAUUGGAGUUACCAAAAGGGUUGAGUAAUAACUUUUCAUUCCUUGGCAGACCAGCUUGAGCCCAGCAGGCCCACUCUCCCUCUGCGGGACCUAGCAGCCCAGCAGGCCUCACACACCAUUUAAAUUACGCAUGAAAGGCCGGGUCACAAGCCCGCAGACUAAGCCCGAUAGGCUUCACUAUCAAGCCCAUUCCUUUGGUCCAGCAGAAUCAAAUAAAAGGAAAAAUGAUUUGAUUCUACUGAGAUUUGAACCCAGACAAUGUACAUGUCAUUAUGGCUAUUGCAAAUAAAUUCACCAUAUUUCAUAUGUGUAAUUAAUUGCCAGAAGCAUUUAUUCACAUAAUUGUGUGACAAUUAAUAUGUUAUAUUACUAGCAUGCAAUUAAUAUCUCAAUUGAUUUGUGAUU
This is a long non-coding RNA of Rosa rugosa (rugosa rose), 744 nucleotides long. RefSeq lists it as uncharacterized. NCBI's taxonomy places the organism in Eukaryota, Viridiplantae, Streptophyta, Magnoliopsida, Rosales, Rosaceae. The transcript is spliced from 2 exons. The record is from RefSeq and is a predicted model, not a curated record.